RNAcentral lists this ribosomal RNA (390 nucleotides) under uncultured bacterium. RNAcentral's name for it is "bacterial SSU rRNA". It matches the Rfam family "Bacterial small subunit ribosomal RNA", at positions 30 to 418 of the family's 1533-position model. The record is from RNAcentral.
AUUGAACGCUGGCGGCAUGCUUUACACAUGCAAGUCGAACGGCAGCACGGGGGCAACCCUGGUGGCGAGUGGCGAACGGGUGAGUAAUAUAUCGGAACGUACCCGGAAAUGGGGGAUAACGUAGCGAAAGUUACGCUAAUACCGCAUAUGCCCUAAGGGGGAAAGCGGGGGAUUCGCAAGAACCUCGCGUUUUCGGAGCGGCCGAUAUCGGAUUAGCUAGUAGGUGAGGUAAAGGCUCACCUAGGCGACGAUCCGUAGCUGGUCUGAGAGGACGACCAGCCACACUGGAACUGAGACACGGUCCAGACUCCUACGGGAGGCAGCAGUGGGGAAUUUUGGACAAUGGGCGCAAGCCUGAUCCAGCCAUGCCGCGUGAGUGAAGAAGGCCUU